RNAcentral lists this long non-coding RNA (1213 nucleotides) under Chrysemys picta bellii (western painted turtle). RNAcentral's name for it is "lncRNA (ENSCPBG00000003564.1)". Lineage: Eukaryota; Metazoa; Chordata; Testudines; Emydidae. The record is from RNAcentral.
CUCCAGCUCCCAGAGAAGAGUAAGGUAAGUCGACUGGAGAGCGUCUCCCAUGACGCAGUGCACUGAAGACUCCAGGAUAAGUAGACCUAAGCUAUGUCGACUCCAGCUACGUUAUUCAUGUAACUUAGGUUGACUUACCUCGGUAGUGAAGACAAGCCCUAAGAGGUAACUGGGGUAAUUAAAAUUUGCAUAGUGGUUUCCAAAUAAGAUUUCAUAGUAAUUUCUGCUCUUCACCUCUGAGGUAUGUGUGGCACUUGCUUUUUCUUUUGUAGGAGUGUCAAUAAUUCAUUGAAAGAUAUUGAAAGUGCACAGAAGUGUGUACAACUAUACAAUUGUGUAUGCAGGUAACCCACUGGUCAUUUGCAUACAUACACAAUAUUAUCUCAGUACAGUUCCUGUUUUCCUCUUGCUCUGGAUUUAUAAAAGAAAUUAGUCUGACAACUUACACCCCAAGUCUUUUGAUACUGAGUCUGCAAAUUGCCUUUGAAAAUUAACAUUGUAUUUCUAAGACUGCAUGCAGUAAGGCUGAAAUGUAGCACAGCACAGCAACUUUAAUGUGUCUCAUUUACAGUACCUGACAUAAUAUUCUUGUGAAAGAAACUAUGUCAUGAAAAAUCCAUCUACAAAAACUGCAUAACACACACUUUAUUUACUUGGAACUAACAAUUAUUCAAGAUUCUAACUAAUAAUGAAGCCACAUGAUUUCUUCAGUACAGAGGGGGUCUAAAGUUACCACCACUAAAGACCAAAACAAACACUUCCCAAUCCAGCCAUGUGUGUGCAAUGUAGCUAAAUUAUGGUGUUAGAUGGUGCUGAGACCUCCCUACUAAGUAAGAGUAUUUCGAUGAGGAUAGAUGGGUGAGAGAAAGAGAAAGAUUUUGGCUCUUUACCAUUACAAAUAGACUCAAACAGAAAAGACCUCUUAGGUCAUCCAGUGCCUCUCCCUACCAGAGCUGGCAUUGUUCCCUGCACUACAUUUACUGGUGUUUUGUCCAAUCCAGUUUUAAAAGUGCCAAAAUCAUGUAAUGUCCCUUUGGACUCACCUCCUGGUCACUCAACUUUGGCCUGUUUGGAAAGACUGAAAAACUUGCAGGGAGCAACUUUCCUAUACAGAAUAUUUUGUUUUAUUAAUUAAAAUAAUGACAAACUUGAAGCAAAACAACUUCUACUUAACGCCAAUAAAAAUGUAACCCUGUAGCCUGAGGAGUGGAGU